AACGAACGCUGGCGGCAUGCCUAACACAUGCAAGUCGAACGAUGCUUUCGGGCAUGGUGGCGCACGGGUGCGUAACGCGUCGGAAUCUGCCCUUGGGCUCGGGAUAACAGUGAGAAAUGGCUGCUAAUACCGGAUGAUGUCUGCGGACCAAAGAUUUAUCGCCCAGGUAUGAGCCCGCGUAGGUUUAGCUAGGCGGUGGGGUAAUGGCCUACGAAGGCGACGAUCCUUAGCUGGGCUGAGAGGAAGAUCAGCCACACUGGGACUGAGACACGGCCCAGACUCCUACGGGAGGCAGGAGUGGGGAAUAUUGGACAAUGGGCGCAAGGAUGAUCCAGCACUGGCGGGUGAGUGAUGAAGGCCUUAGGGUUGUAAAGCUCGUUUACCCGGGAUGAUAAUGACAGUACCGGGAGAAUAAGCUCCGGCUAACUCCGUG
This 433-nucleotide ribosomal RNA is filed under the name uncultured bacterium. RNAcentral describes it as "partial 16S ribosomal RNA". It matches the Rfam family "Bacterial small subunit ribosomal RNA", at positions 29 to 507 of the family's 1533-position model. The record is from RNAcentral.